AGCAGCCGCGGUAAUUCCAGCUCCAAUAGCGUAUAUUAAAGUUGUUGCAGUUAAAAAGCUCGUAGUUGAAUUUCGGGAUCAAGUCGUCGGUCGUGCUCAGGUACGUACUAGCGUCAUUGAUUUCUCCCUUCUGACGAACCAUGAUGUCAUUAAUUUGGUGUUAUGGGAAAUCAGGACUGUUACUUUGAAAAAUUAGAGUGUUUAAAGCAGGCUCACGCUUGAAUACAUUAGCAUGGAAUAAUGAAAUAGGACGUUCGAUCCUAUUUUGUUGGUUUUAGGAUCAACGUAAUGAUUAAUAGGGAUAGUUGGGGGCAUUAGUAUUCAAUUGUCAGAGGUGAAAUUCUUGGAUUUAUUGAAGACUAACUACUGCGAAAGCAUUUGCCAAGGAUGUUUUCAUUAAUCAAGAACGAAAGUUAGGGGAUCGAAGACGAUCAGAUACCGUCGUAGUCUUAACCAUAAACUAA
This 464-nucleotide ribosomal RNA is filed under the name uncultured Glomus. RNAcentral describes it as "SSU rRNA". It matches the Rfam family "Eukaryotic small subunit ribosomal RNA", at positions 569 to 1040 of the family's 1831-position model. Lineage: Eukaryota; Fungi; Glomeromycota; Glomeromycetes; Glomerales; Glomeraceae. The record is from RNAcentral.